GGGGGUAUAGCUCAGUGGUAGAGCACCCGCAUACGCAUACGUAAGGUCGGGGGUUCGACUCCCUCUGCCUCCA
RNAcentral lists this transfer RNA (73 nucleotides) under Pristionchus pacificus. It matches the Rfam family "tRNA". From Rfam's summary of the family: Transfer RNA (tRNA) molecules are approximately 80 nucleotides in length. Their secondary structure includes four short double-helical elements and three loops (D, anti-codon, and T loops). Further hydrogen bonds mediate the characteristic L-shaped molecular structure. tRNAs have two regions of fundamental functional importance: the anti-codon, which is responsible for specific mRNA codon recognition, and the 3' end, to which the tRNAs corresponding amino acid is attached (by aminoacyl-tRNA synthetases). tRNAs cope with the degeneracy of the genetic code in two manners: having more than one tRNA (with a specific anti-codon) for a particular amino acid; and 'wobble' base-pairing, i.e. permitting non-standard base-pairing at the 3rd anti-codon position. Lineage: Eukaryota; Metazoa; Nematoda; Chromadorea; Rhabditida; Neodiplogasteridae. The record is from Rfam by way of RNAcentral.